GCUAAGACUCAGUGCCAGGCAUCUGCAAGGCAGCUAGGUAAGAACACUGUGGAGCUCUUGCUUUGAUUACCGAUUCUGAAAUUGUAAAUAAUUUCAGAGUUUCUAUGUUCAAUCUGUUUGUCUGCUUUUAUCCUUAAUCCAUUGAAUGGGAAGGGCGGUAGAAGAGGACAUUUUUCUAAGCUGAAAUUAGGCUUUUCACAACGUCCAUUUCAAGCAGAACGAUUAUGACAAGAAGGAAGGCAGUGAACCGGGAAAGGCAGCAUAAGAUCAUUUCAGAAUGAAGAUGCUUUGGGAUCUGACUUCGGACUGUAAGAAUGACAAACUCUGAAUGGGUGCAAAGGUAGCAGAUGACCUUCAAAGGAUGCUACGUGUAUGUGUUUCUAAGCAAAACUUCUUGGAAGAAAAGG
This 407-nucleotide long non-coding RNA is filed under the name Homo sapiens (human). RNAcentral's name for it is "non-protein coding lnc-ARHGAP18-1:7". The record is from RNAcentral. Lineage: Eukaryota; Metazoa; Chordata; Mammalia; Primates; Hominidae.